This 253-nucleotide ribosomal RNA is filed under the name uncultured bacterium. RNAcentral describes it as "partial 16S ribosomal RNA". It matches the Rfam family "Bacterial small subunit ribosomal RNA", at positions 524 to 776 of the family's 1533-position model. The record is from RNAcentral.
GACAGAGGGUGCAAACGUUGUUCGGAAUUACUGGGCGUAAAGCGCGUGUAGGCGGCCUAUCAAGUCGGAUGUGAAAGCCCCGGGCUCAACCCGGGAAGUGCACUCGAUACUGGUGGGCUGGAGUCUCGGAGAGGGUGGUGGAACUCUCGGUGUAGAGGUGAAAUUCGUAGAUAUCGAGAAGAACACCUGUGGCGAAGGCGGCCACCUGGACGUAGACUGACGCUGAGACGCGAAAGCGUGGGGAGCAAACAGG